GAGGAAUUCUUAAAGAAGGAAAACAGCUGGGAAACACAUCUAUGUCUCCUACAAAGGAGCUCAUUCUGGCAGCUAACCUUGUGCUGGAAAGAGUGGAGUACUCAGCUGCAUACUCCUUACAACAAGGAUCCAGGAGCAGACUGUUUUUCUUGGUGUGGAUAUAAAAGCAGUUGUAAUCUCAGCUCAUGCCUGCCUUGCUACCAACCAACAUCAUUUCAUACUACCAUCAAUGCACCCAUCUCUCCAUCUGCAAGUAAGGUCCAAAUCUCAUAAAAGGGAGCAGGAGGUGGAUGGUGCUGCCCGCAUUCAAACUGCCUGCAAUCACUGCCCAAGACGCAGCUUCUUCUCUCCAUUGAUUUUACAGAUCAGAGCUCUGGAGAGGCAGCGCACCUUAGAUGUCACAACAAGCAAACUGAGCCAAGGAGCUAGAGCUGGCAAUCUCAGUACAGCUCUAAGAUGCUUCACUUCCUUUGAAAAACUGCUUAGCCAAGAUUGUCCUGACCUACUUCUCCUGGCUUCCCAACCAUCCCCUGGGCAGGAAAAACACCGGAAAACAGCAGGAUUCCAGAAAACCUGUCUUUACUCAGACCUUCCCAACACAGACACACUCACUCCUUGCAUUUGGUUGUGAUGUUUGUUAUUCUUCAGCAAAUCAGUCUAUCUUUGAUCCUGCUCAGCAGAUGGACAGACAGAAGAGGACUUUCCAGGACAGAUACUCUGUUGUUCUCAGCCCCCCUGGAGAGAUGGGGCUGGUUCUGCCCCUCAGGACACCCAAGGCCACUGAGGACUGGCAGGCCAUCCUGAGCAGACAGUGCUGAUCCUGGAACUCCAUUGUCUGUACUAUUAGAUCAUUAGAGCAAUCCCUGACCAAAUCACUUUCACAAAGAACUCCUGAGCAAUGUUCAGGAGUUAGCACAGGCUUGGGACCAUUCCUAAAGGGCAACUUAGAGGCAGCCACUCUGUUUUUGAGGGCAGAAGAGUUUAAUAGCAUGGAUGUCCACCUUCGAUACCAGUUUUCAGUGCCGGAGACCACAGCUAAGCACAUUAAAUCUACCAGGAUGCACUUAGCUUUGGGGCCUUAACAUAUCCCCUCACAAACAGUCAGAAAGUGUGGGAAAACACUGGCAAGAGAUAUCAUCAAUUCAGUGAUAGCCUUGGAAAGUACUGGUCCAGUUGUGUUUGGGAUAUCUGAGAUAUCCUUGUAUGGUUUGAGCCAAAAAACUGUGCCUUAGAUGCCACUUUGCUGUGAUAACUCCCUGCGUGGAAGACAGGUGUAGGUGCUGCUUACAGGAGAAAAAGUUUCUCUGUGAUUCUAUCCUUCUAAAAUCUGUUCUGUUCAGGAGGAGAAUGAGGCUGCUAAUUAUCUCAAUAACCUACUGAACUUCUGAAGCCUUGUCAGCUGUGGGGAAGUUUUCCUGUUUAUUUACAGGCUAGUCUGUUAUUCUUGUUCUUUCGACAGGAAAUAAGGGCAAGUGUUAUGCCCUUGCAGGCAGGGUGGCAUGAGAGGAGGAUGAGGAAAAUGGAGAUAGGGCAUAGAGGGGAAUACAGUAAGCAAAACAGGACAUGUGGUAUUGCAGAAAGUUUUCAAAAUGCCUGGAUCUUUUCAUUUUUAUCUAUCAGCUGUGGCACGGGCUUUCUACAUUAAAAAGGUUUGUCUCUACCAGCAUUGCAUUGCCAUCUCUUCAAGACACCAUUAUACUUUCCAGCAGUAGAGCUGUGUGGAAAGUCACCUCCCAAGGUUGUUUUGUUCAACACAAAUCCUUCUCAUCAUCCGGCUUUCUGUGUUUCAUUGAGUUCUACAAAAUAAGGACAGCAAGAAUAAAGCGUAACCAGAAGAGCCGUAGAGCUGCUCUUGCACUGUGAAGCCCCUCCAGAACUGGUCAAACACCAUCAGAAGCACAGCAGAGAGGUGGUGUGGAGCUUUUCUCUUUCAAGGACCAAAGGCCUUAGCUGAAGCCCACUGAAAUCAAAUGGACUUGAAAUGAAAUCAAACCCCGUUCUGUGGGCUUUGAAACCAGUGGCAAUAUCCCAUCUGAUAGAUGCCUCUAGUUAACACAUCUGCCUGUAGGUUUUCUGCCUUAAGUUGAGGAGAUAUUUCUUGUUCCACAAUUUGGGAACUCCAUGUGCUGCUAACAGUAAAAGAAACUAGCUCUAGAGCAUGAAUAUCUGUGUUUUGUCUGAAGGCUAAAAUCAUUUCAUUAGCUUCAGGGAAUCCUGCAGUAGUCAAGUAGGAUUUAGCUUUGUGAAAUGCUGAAGCCCCUUCAAAGUCUGCAGGAAAUCUGAGACUACAUUGUCCAUCCUCCCUCACAUCGCAGAAACACAAGUCCUAAUUACUAAGGUCUAUACUGGAACAUUUUCACUGUGCGGAUACAAGGGGAAAAUUCCCCACCCCUAGCUGACUUAGCUAUGCUGGCAAAACAAACAAACAAACAAAAAAACCCACAACCCCCACAACCCCAAGCAAACAAACACACGGUUAGGAAUGAACCCAGCAAAAGCCUGCCUUUUGCCAGUGUAAAUUAAGUCAUCCCAAGAGGUGGUCUAAAUAUGCUAGCAAAAAAACUCCUUUUGCCAGUAUAAGCUGUAUUUCCACAGGGGGCUUUGCUGCUUUUGCUGGCAAAGCUUAACAGUGUAAACCAGGGUUGCUUGAUACUGCCUUGUAAGCACAACUGGUAAAAAAUAAAGUAUGAUUAU
Molecule: long non-coding RNA, 2694 nt
Organism: Dromaius novaehollandiae (emu)
Lineage: Eukaryota; Metazoa; Chordata; Aves; Casuariiformes; Dromaiidae
Exons: 3
Source: RefSeq, a predicted model, not a curated record